Molecule: long non-coding RNA, 533 nt
Organism: Populus euphratica (Euphrates poplar)
Lineage: Eukaryota; Viridiplantae; Streptophyta; Magnoliopsida; Malpighiales; Salicaceae
Exons: 2
Source: RefSeq, a predicted model, not a curated record
GCUGCUUUCAAUUAUCUUAUGUUUUAAACACAAAAAAUACUAAGUCCCAUAAACAAUAAAUCACGUGUUAUACUUUAUCAAACACCAACUUUUCCUUCAGACAUAGAAACAACCAUAUAAACAAUCACAAAUUCUAGGAUGGUUUUGCUAAUCCAUAUAUAAACUUUAGGAACAUGCAAACCUAUCAUCGACCAGGCAAAGUCGCUGCCGCCCAUGUGCCAAUGCAGUGUCUUCCUUCUAUGCUGCGUUGCUGCACAGCCAGACAAUUUCUAGUGGUACACAACAUCACUCUAUCAAACCUGGCAAAGGGAAUUUGGCACAAGUUCAUCUUGAAAGCCCAUUAAAGAAUUGUAGGUAAAUUUACUUUCCUUCUUAGAACAGCUGGAGAGUUCAAGGCAAAUGUUAGGCAAACCAGGUCAACAAGAUCCAAAACAAAUGAGCAGCAGCCUGCCAGCAGGGGAUAGCCAUGCUUCUUGACGGCCUGAAAGGGUGGAUCCACGGCCAGUAGGGUAGAAAAAUGGAAGCAUCUCGGC